CUUCCCUACGGGAGGCAGCAGUGGGGGAUAUUGCACAAUGGGGGGAACCCUGAUGCAGCGACGCCGCGUGGGUGAAGGAGUAUUUCGGUAUGUAAAGCCCUAUCGGCAGGGAAGAAGCAAGACGGUACCUGACUAAGAAGCCCCGGCUAACUACGUGCCAGCAGCCGCGGUAAUACGCAUGGUGCAAGCGUUAUCCGGAUUUACUGGGUGUAGAGGGAGCGCAGGCGGCACGGUAAGCCUGAUGUGAAAGCCCGCGGCCCAACCGCGGGACUGCAUUGGGAACUACCGGGCUGGAGUGCCGGAGG
Molecule: ribosomal RNA, 305 nt
Filed under: uncultured bacterium
Lineage: Bacteria
Description: bacterial SSU rRNA
Rfam family: Bacterial small subunit ribosomal RNA
Source: RNAcentral